GAUGAAGAACGUAGCGAAAUGCGACAAGUAAUGUGAAUUGCAGAAUUCCGUGAAUCAUCGAAUCUUUGAACGCACAUUGCGCCCCCUGGCAUUCCGGGGGGCAUGCCUGUCCGAGCGUCAUUUCUGCCCUCCAGCCCGGCUGGGUGUUGGGCGCUGUCCCCCCGGGGACACGCCCCAAAGGCAGUGGCGGCGCCGCGUCGGGUCCUCGAGCGUAUGGGGCUUUGUCACCCGCUCGGGACGGACUCGUCGGCGCUGGUCUUCCUCCAGGCGACCCUUCGGGGCUCGUCUUCCUUCGGUUGACCUCGGAUCAGGUAGGGUUACCCGCUGAACUUAAGCAUAUCAAUAAGCGGAGGA
This 354-nucleotide unclassified non-coding RNA is filed under the name soil metagenome. RNAcentral describes it as "partial contains 5.8S ribosomal RNA, internal transcribed spacer 2, and large subunit ribosomal RNA". The stretch from base 1 to 120 matches the Rfam family "5.8S ribosomal RNA", at positions 35 to 154 of the family's 154-position model. The record is from RNAcentral.